AUCUUCCGCAAUGGACGAAAGUCUGACGGAGCAACGCCGCGUGAGUGAUGAAGGGNUUNNGCUCGNANAACUCUGUUGUUAGGNNNNNACACUUGAGGUAGUAACUGGCCUUGAGAUGACGGUACUUAACCAGAAAGCCACGGCUAACUACGUGCCAGCAGCCGCGGUAAUACGUAGGUGGCAAGCGUUAUCCGGAAUUAUUGGGCGUAAAGCGCGCGUAGGCGGUAAAAUAAGUCUGAUGUGAAAGACCCCGGCUCAACCGGGGAGGGUCAUUGGAAACUGUUUUACUUGAGUACAGAAGAGGAGAGUGGAAUUCCAUGUGUAGCGGUGAAAUGCGCAGAGAUAUGGAGGAACACCAGUGGCGAAGGCGGCUCUCUGGUCUGUUACUGACGCUGAGGUGCGAAAGCGUGGGGAUCAAAC
RNAcentral lists this ribosomal RNA (420 nucleotides) under uncultured bacterium. RNAcentral's name for it is "partial 16S ribosomal RNA". It matches the Rfam family "Bacterial small subunit ribosomal RNA", at positions 361 to 773 of the family's 1533-position model. The record is from RNAcentral.